CCCUUAGAUGUUCUGGGCCGCACGCGCGCUACAAUGAUGAAUUCAACGAGUUUAUAACCUUGGUUGAAAAGCCUGGGUAAUCUUUUGAACUUUCGUCGUGAUGGGGCUAGACCCUUGCAAUUAUUGGUCUCCAACGAGGAAUUCCUAGUAAACGCAAGUCAUCAGCUUGCAUUGAUUACGUCCCUGCCCUUUGUACACACCGCCCGUCGCACCUACCGAUUGAAUGGUCCGGUGAACAAUUUGGACUGCUUUGAUUCGAUUAGAAUUUGAAGCGGAAAGUUUAGUGAACCUUAUCACUUAGAGGAAGGAGAAGUCGUAACA
This 321-nucleotide ribosomal RNA is filed under the name uncultured eukaryote. RNAcentral's name for it is "partial 18S ribosomal RNA". It matches the Rfam family "Eukaryotic small subunit ribosomal RNA", at positions 1470 to 1796 of the family's 1831-position model. The record is from RNAcentral.